This 497-nucleotide ribosomal RNA is filed under the name uncultured bacterium. Its description in RNAcentral is "partial 16S ribosomal RNA". It matches the Rfam family "Bacterial small subunit ribosomal RNA", at positions 28 to 507 of the family's 1533-position model. The record is from RNAcentral.
GAUGAACGCUGGCGGCGUGCCUAAUACAUGCAAGUCGAGCGAACAGAUCAGGAGCUUGCUCCUCUGACGUUAGCGGCGGACGGGUGAGUAACACGUGGAUAACCUACCUAUAAGACUGGGAUAACUUCGGGAAACCGGAGCUAAUACCGGAUAAUAUAUUGAACCGCAUGGUUCAAUAGUGAAAGACGGUUUUGCUGUCACUUAUAGAUGGAUCCGCGCCGCAUUAGCUAGUUGGUAAGGUAACGGCUUACCAAGGCAACGAUGCGUAGCCGACCUGAGAGGGUGAUCGGCCACCCGGGAACUGAGACACGGUCCAGACUCCUACGAGAGGCAGCAGUAGGGAAUCUUCCGCAAUGGGCGAAAGCCUGACGGAGCAACGCCGCGUGAGUGAUGAAGGUCUUCGGAUCGUAAAACUCUGUUAUUAGGGAAGAACAAAUGUGUAAGUAACUAUGCACGUCUUGACGGUACCUAAUCAGAAAGCAACGGCUAACUACGUG